UUUCUCUGUUAAGAAUGCAAAAUAAUAAAUUUUCUUGAUACAAGAAAAUAAUAAAAAAAAAGAUAAUGUAAAGGCUAAAGAUAUUGUAUUCUGACUUUAGCAGACCAGAAACUGUAUUUCAGUUGAGGAAGUCAUAAGGUAAUUCUUGAUUUCUCCUUGUUCCAGGCAGGAGAAUAAUAUGCGUUGCAACUUUACCUACCAAAGGUUUCUUCCCCAGUUUUUCUAGUGUCUGAGCUGUCUGGGGCACCCACAGAAGAGUCUUAACAAAGCAAAACUGCCUUUGUUCUUUGUCUGCAAAAGAAGAGCUUAUGUGCUGUAUUUUCAAAAAUAAGUAUAUAAAGAAGCAGCAUCACUUCUUACAAAGGUGUUUAUGUCUUUAUACAGAAUAUUUUCAAAACACUGUCAGUUGGUUGGUGCUGUAUAUGUACUUCUACAAACAUGAAUAAAUGUUAACAUGACCCAGUGAAUUCUGCGCAAUACUAUUUAUAACCUGAAAAUGUGGAAAAUAUUAGUGUUUUUCUGAUUGAUUUAUCAGGAGUAUUGUUAUUGUUCUUUUCAGAAAAUGGGAGCAUUUGCAUAUCUAUGGAAAAGUGUCACAAGCCAAGAAAAUAAGUCUUAGAAAAAGAACAGAGAGCAAUGCUGCAUCACCUCCUUAGCAGUUCCAGAUUACCCAGAGCUAAGAGGAGAAAAAGUUAUUAUCAGACAAAAGAAUUCUUCACUGAGAACGACAUGAAUAACCAUUUCUUUGAAGUGUUUCCUGCAAAUACUCCUCUGCCAGAAGUCAUGAAGUGAUAACACUCCCACACUUCUUACUAGCCUUUAUGGGAAACCAGUUAUAGUGAUCUGGACGACGUCCAGGAAAAAAGCCAGCAAUAAAGUACUGUGGAUGGCCA
RNAcentral lists this long non-coding RNA (893 nucleotides) under Phasianus colchicus (ring-necked pheasant). RNAcentral's name for it is "lncRNA (ENSPCLG00000016549.1)". Lineage: Eukaryota; Metazoa; Chordata; Aves; Galliformes; Phasianidae. The record is from RNAcentral.